GUGGGGAAUAUUGGGCAAUGGGCGAAAGCCUGACCCAGCAACGCCGCGUGAGGGAAGAAGGCCUUCGGGUUGUAAACCUCUGUCCUUGGUGACGAAAAAAAUGACGGUAGCCAAGGAGGAAGCCCCGGCUAACUACGUGCCAGCAGCCGCGGUAAUACGUAGGGGGCGAGCGUUGUCCGGAAUUACCGGGCGUAAAGGGUGCGUAGGUGGCCUUUUAAGUUGGAUGUGAAAUACCCGGGCUUAACUUGGGGGGUGCAUCUAAUACUGGAGGGCUAGAGUGCAGGAGAGGGAAGCGGAAUUCCUAGUGUAGCGGUGAAAUGCGUAGAUAUUAGGAGGAACACCAGUGGCGAAGGCGGCUUUCUGGACUGUAACUGACACUGAGGCACGAAAGCGUGGGGAGCAAACAGGAUUAGAUACCCGAGUAGUCC
Molecule: ribosomal RNA, 428 nt
Filed under: uncultured bacterium
Lineage: Bacteria
Description: partial 16S ribosomal RNA
Rfam family: Bacterial small subunit ribosomal RNA
Source: RNAcentral